Non-coding RNA from Arachis ipaensis, 812 nucleotides. The record is from RefSeq and is a predicted model, not a curated record. Lineage: Eukaryota; Viridiplantae; Streptophyta; Magnoliopsida; Fabales; Fabaceae.
UUUUAGUGUGAAUAAAUUCUGUAGUAAUCUUGGUACCUUUGAGUAUCUUUAAAAUAUGUUCAAAUUACUCAUCCUUAAAUGAAUCCCUUUCAGUGUCCUAUAUUAAUCAAAUUACACAAGAAAUGCUAUUUUCAGGUUUAAUUCUAGAUUAAUACUGAACCUUCUUAUAUAAAUAACUAUCUCUUUCACUAUCUUCACUCCUUAACAUUAUCAAUCAUCAGGAAACUAUACUGAAAGUGUGUCUGUGAAAAGCUUGACCAAUAUAUUACUUUGCCAUUUGCAUAUGAAAAUUAGGGACCAACCUAUCUAGUAUGAGAAGGUUUUGUUGUUGUAUCUAAAUUUGCUUAAUGUUCUUAAAAUAUGGCAUAUUUCUUUAAACCACUCAACGAAAAUCCAAGGUUAGUGUUGCAAUCUUGUAUAUUUAUUAUUAUUACUUUUGUUCCAUCUGUUUUGUGAAAUUGGUGUAAGAUUUGAUGCUUAGGCAGUACUAAAUUGGAUGAAUGCAUAGCACAAGUCACAUGUUGUUUGUAAAGACAAUUGGAUGAUGUCCCUCUACACCCCCACUGGCACAUAAAAUUCUCAAAGCAGACGAGAGUCAAUUAAAAAAGAACAAGCUAGAAAAGAGAGGAAAGAUCUGGAUAAGAUGCUUGAAGAGAAUAGGAAGAGAUUAUGGUUUUCAAUGGAUAUUGGAUGUGUGGAGAUUGAGUUUUGGGUGAGAUGAGUGUGUGAUUUGUUUUGUGUGAGGUGUGUGCGCGUGCGCACGGGAGUAUUUUAAUCAAUUUUUCCCUAAUUACAUUUUCUUAGUUUAAUUA